AGAGUUUGAUCCUGGCUCAGAUUGAACGCUGGCGGCAGGCCUAACACAUGCAAGUCGAGCGGAUGAAGGGAGCUUGCUCCUGGAUUCAGCGGCGGACGGGUGAGUAAUGCCUAGGAAUCUGCCUGGUAGUGGGGGACAACGUUUCGAAAGGAACGCUAAUACCGCAUACGUCCUACGGGAGAAAGCAGGGGACCUUCGGGCCUUGCGCUAUCAGAUGAGCCUAGGUCGGAUUAGCUAGUUGGUGAGGUAAUGGCUCACCAAGGCGACGAUCCGUAACUGGUCUGAGAGGAUGAUCAGUCACACUGGAACUGAGACACGGUCCAGACUCCUACGGGAGGCAGCAGUGGGGAAUAUUGGACAAUGGGCGAAAGCCUGAUCCAGCCAUGCCGCGUGUGUGAAGAAGGUCUUCGGAUUGUAAAGCACUUUAAGUUGGGAGGAAGGGUUGUAGAUUAAUACUCUGCAAUUUUGACGUUACCGACAGAAUAAGCACCGGCUAACUCUGUGCCAGCAGCCGCGGUAAUACAGAGGGUGCAAGCGUUAAUCGGAAUUACUGGGCGUAAAGCGCGCGUAGGUGGUUCGUUAAGUUGGAUGUGAAAUCCCCGGGCUCAACCUGGGAACUGCAUUCAAAACUGUCGAGCUAGAGUAUGGUAGAGGGUGGUGGAAUUUCCUGUGUAGCGGUGAAAUGCGUAGAUAUAGGAAGGAACACCAG
Molecule: ribosomal RNA, 709 nt
Filed under: Pseudomonas koreensis
Lineage: Bacteria; Pseudomonadati; Pseudomonadota; Gammaproteobacteria; Pseudomonadales; Pseudomonadaceae
Description: bacterial SSU rRNA
Rfam family: Bacterial small subunit ribosomal RNA
Source: RNAcentral